RNAcentral lists this ribosomal RNA (198 nucleotides) under Eremoblatta subdiaphana. Its description in RNAcentral is "partial 12S ribosomal RNA". The record is from RNAcentral. Lineage: Eukaryota; Metazoa; Arthropoda; Insecta; Blattodea; Corydiidae.
GGGGUAAAAAUUUUCUAGAACUUUCAUUUAUAGUAUNUAUNAGGUCAAGGUUUAAUUAAUGAUUAAGUGGAGAUGGAUUACAAUAUUAUAUAUUUCGGAUUAAGAAUUGUAAUAUUUUUAUUAAGUUGGAUUUAAAAGUAAUUUAAUUUAGAAUGUUGAUAUGAUUAAAGCUCUAAAAUGUGUACAUAUCGCCCGUCA